GAUAGGAUAGCUCAGUUGGUUAGAGCACUACACUUUUAAUGUAGGUUAUGGACUCAAAAUCCAUUUUCAACA
RNAcentral lists this transfer RNA (72 nucleotides) under Maribacter algarum (ex Zhang et al. 2020). RNAcentral's name for it is "Maribacter algarum tRNA". It matches the Rfam family "tRNA". Rfam says of the family: Transfer RNA (tRNA) molecules are approximately 80 nucleotides in length. Their secondary structure includes four short double-helical elements and three loops (D, anti-codon, and T loops). Further hydrogen bonds mediate the characteristic L-shaped molecular structure. tRNAs have two regions of fundamental functional importance: the anti-codon, which is responsible for specific mRNA codon recognition, and the 3' end, to which the tRNAs corresponding amino acid is attached (by aminoacyl-tRNA synthetases). tRNAs cope with the degeneracy of the genetic code in two manners: having more than one tRNA (with a specific anti-codon) for a particular amino acid; and 'wobble' base-pairing, i.e. permitting non-standard base-pairing at the 3rd anti-codon position. Lineage: Bacteria; Pseudomonadati; Bacteroidota; Flavobacteriia; Flavobacteriales; Flavobacteriaceae. The record is from Rfam by way of RNAcentral.